Molecule: ribosomal RNA, 497 nt
Filed under: uncultured bacterium
Lineage: Bacteria
Description: partial 16S ribosomal RNA
Rfam family: Bacterial small subunit ribosomal RNA
Source: RNAcentral
GACGAACGCUGGCGGCGCGCCUAAUACAUGCAAGUUGAGCGCUGAAGGUUGGUACUUGUACCAACUGGAUGAGCAGCGAACGGGUGAGUAACGCGUGGGGAAUCUGCCUUUGAGCGGGGGACAACAUUUGGAAACGAAUGCUAAUACCGCAUAAAAACUUUAAACACAAGUUUUAAGUUUGAAAGAUGCAAUUGCAUCACUCAAAGAUGAUCCCGCGUUGUAUUAGCUAGUUGGUGAGGUAAAGGCUCACCAAGGCGAUGAUACAUAGCCGACCUGAGAGGGUGAUCGGCCACAUUGGGACUGAGACACGGCCCAAACUCCUACGGGAGGCAGCAGUAGGGAAUCUUCGGCAAUGGACGAAAGUCUGACCGAGCAACGCCGCGUGAGUGAAGAAGGUUUUCGGAUCGUAAAACUCUGUUGGUAGAGAAGAACGUUGGUGAGAGUGGAAAGCUCAUCAAGUGACGGUAACUACACAGAAAGGGACGGCUAACUACGUG